GGAAGUAAAAGCGUAACAAGGUUUCCGUAGGUGAACCUGCGGAAGGAUCAUUAUUGUAUAACCGAGGUGCGAGGGCUGUCGCUGACCAGAGAGGUCGUGCACGCCCGAGUGCCCUCACACACAUCCAUCUCACCCCUAUGUGCACCACCGCGUGGGUCCCCCGUUGGCGUGUUCGGAGGGGGGCUUACGUUUUCACACAGACUUUGUAUGCAGUGUAGAAUGUAUUUUUUGUUUUUGCGAUCACGCAAUCAAUACAACUUUCAACAACGGAUCUCUUGGCCCUC
This 284-nucleotide unclassified non-coding RNA is filed under the name plant metagenome. RNAcentral describes it as "partial contains small subunit ribosomal RNA and internal transcribed spacer 1". The stretch from base 1 to 53 matches the Rfam family "Eukaryotic small subunit ribosomal RNA", at positions 1778 to 1831 of the family's 1831-position model. The record is from RNAcentral.